Molecule: long non-coding RNA, 676 nt
Organism: Drosophila erecta
Lineage: Eukaryota; Metazoa; Arthropoda; Insecta; Diptera; Drosophilidae
Exons: 2
Source: RefSeq, a predicted model, not a curated record
UGGUCGGUUAUUGGUGCUGUGUGGUUGGCGAAGGCGACACAAGUCCGUGUGGCGGCAAAGUUCUCGAUUCUCGAUUCUCCGUUCUCCACUCCAGUUUGCUCCAGUCCCCGAGUCCUGAAAAUCGCGAUAAAACCGAGGACACUCGUGCGUACGUGCGAUUGUGUGUGUGUCUCAUUUGCGAGGGUGUGUGUGCUUGUGCUGCAGUGAGAUGGCAAAUUAUGAAUAAAAUGUAAGCGAAAGUAAGGAAAAGCAAACUGAAUGCGCUGCAGUUUGGCGAAGGAAAAGAAAACUAAUCUUCCCCCCGUUGGAAUCCACGAAUUUAUUCUCAUCAGCGAGUGGAACUUCCCUAGCUUUUCCUACUUAGUUUGACAAAUUAAAAUGCAUAAAUUAUGAACGAAAGUACCGUUACGUGCGUGACAACCAAUCAUUUGUUAUUAUUAUGCACGUGGGCCAGCGAACACAAAAACGGUGUGAGAGCGAAAGGUAAACUUGGCUAAAACACUGCCGCCAACAAACACCCCAUUCCACUGGAGUUCUUUAAAGUUGUCUGGAAAAAUAGAGCUAAGCCAAAAACAUAAGAAGGCAGCGCCGGCAAUAAAUGGUCUUAGGAAAGUUUUGCUGAUAUUUCAAUUAAACUCAGUGCGUUGGGCGACACAAAAAAUAACGAAACAGGAAA